Molecule: non-coding RNA, 93 nt
Organism: Xylaria nigripes
Lineage: Eukaryota; Fungi; Ascomycota; Sordariomycetes; Xylariales; Xylariaceae
Source: the annotation of a GenBank genome assembly
GGCUUGGUGGUCUAGCGGUAUGAUUCUCGCUUAGGGUUCACCCGAAAGCAACAAAUAUGCGAGAGGUCCCGGGUUCAAUCCCCGGCCAAGCCC